AGAGUUUGAUCAUGGCUCAGAACGAACGCUGGCGGCAUGCCUAACACAUGCAAGUCGAACGAGGGCUUCGGCCCUAGUGGCGCACGGGUGAGUAACGCGUGGGAACCUGCCCUGUGGUACGGAAUAACUCCGGGAAACUGGAGCUAAUACCGUAUGCGUCCUUUGGGACAAAGAUUUAUCGCCAUGGGAUGGGCCCGCGUAGGAUUAGCUUGUUGGUGGGGUAACGGCCUACCAAGGCUUCGAUCCUUAGCUGGUCUGAGAGGAUGAUCAGCCACACUGGGACUGAGACACGGCCCAGACUCCUACGGGAGGCAGCAGUGGGGAAUAUUGGACAAUGGGCGCAAGCCUGAUCCAGCAAUGCCGCGUGAGUGAUGAAGGCCUUCGGGUUGUAAAGCUCUUUCGCACGCGACGAUGAUGACGGUAGCGUGAGAAGAAGCCCCGGCUAACUUCGUGCCAGCAGCCGCGGUAAUACGAAGGGGGCUAGCGUUGUUCGGAAUUACUGGGCGUAAAGGGCGCGUAGGCGGUACUUCAAGUCAGGCGUGAAAGCCCCGGGCUCAACCUGGGAACCGCGCUUGAGACUGGAGAACUAGAGUUCGGGAGAGGAUGGUGGAAUUCCCAGUGUAGAGGUGAAAUUCGUAGAUAUUGGGAAGAACACCGAUGGCGAAGGCAGCCAUCUGGACCGACACUGACGCUGAGGCGCGAAAGCGUGGGGAGCAAACAGGAUUAGAUACCCUAGUAGUCC
RNAcentral lists this ribosomal RNA (742 nucleotides) under uncultured bacterium. Its description in RNAcentral is "bacterial SSU rRNA". It matches the Rfam family "Bacterial small subunit ribosomal RNA", at positions 8 to 796 of the family's 1533-position model. The record is from RNAcentral.